This is a long non-coding RNA of Macaca fascicularis (crab-eating macaque), 2825 nucleotides long. The record is from Ensembl. Lineage: Eukaryota; Metazoa; Chordata; Mammalia; Primates; Cercopithecidae.
AAAGAUAAAUAAGGUCCAUGUUUAUUCUUCAAUAUAAUACACAUACAUGAUUGUUAUACAUCCUUAUAAAGCAAAGAAAAACAGCCAAAUGAAAUUAUGUUCAGAAAUUUAAAAUAUACAUGAUAGACACAAUCAUGUUAUGAAUCCUUUUUUUAAAUUUCUUAUCAACACCAAUAAACCUAGUCAGAAAGACUCAAUGACAUCCAUCAGCUGAGACGACAGCAAAACACACAUUAGGUAACAGAUGAACGCCCACACAGCAGAUGCUUUCUGCUCUUCUGAAUGGGCAGCAGUGGUUGAGUUAUAAGCCUUCAUGGAAGGUGAAACUGCCCAUAGAAAGACCACUUAUACAAAGCACAGCCCACUAAAAUGGCGCAAAAAGAAAUAUAGAACGCUUCUAAUUGAGAAACUGCAGACUCCAAGCUAUGUAAGGAAGUCAUCUUACUCUAGGAACCCAACAUCUAAUAAACCCAGCACCCACUUCCCUUUAGGACAGAUGGAAAGUUGCCUCCCGGUAAGAAAAUUUCUUAAUCUCAAAAAGACUUUCAGGGAGCACGGUGACGGAUAAGAAGACAAACUUGGAUUCUAACUUAAGAAAAAGGAAAGAAGUAAAAAAAUGUGAAAGAGAGUGCAGAAGCAAAGGCAAAGCUUUGCGGGCAUUGAGAAGUGGGCCGUGGUGAUGCCGCAGUGCGCAGGGAUGACAGGAAGGCCAGGGGACAGGAGGGAACCGAGUCCGAGGACCACAGCCCUCCGGGGGCCUGAUGCUGCCUCUCACUUGUGCUUUUACAAGUGGAUUUUCAACCAGGGUUCUGUCAUUUGGUCCCCAGCACACACUAACCCAGCACACGCAUGCGCACUGGCACCCCGUGCUGGGUGGCUGGGGGAGGGGCAGAGGAAGCAGAAGGGACAAAAAAGGAAUGAAAUAACGAGCAAAUUGUGUUCCUAGUAUCAAAUCCAUAUUUUGAUUCUUAAAAGAGAAAAAAAUUGCUAAGCUAAUUUCCACAAAAUGGAUAAAAAUUAAGUAUUCACACAUCUUUCCAAACAUACAUCAAAGCAAGCCACAACAAUGGCCACAUGCCUACUUACAUUUUUGAGGAAAGAAAGCAAAUUAACAUCGAGUUAGACAAAAUAACUGAAAAUAAACUUAUGGCACUCAACAGACAUAAGUAUUACCAGCUUCAACCUAGAAACUGUUUCCCCAAGUUAGUUCAGGUGAGUCUCUUCCAAAGUUUCUAAUGUAACAAAUGGGGACAUGUGCCCUCCUCCCCGUGAUUUUUAAAUAGCAACAGAUUCUGGGUAAGUGUUGGUGUCUUCCAAAUUACCAAUGUGGCAUGCCUUCUCCUUAAUAAUUUGCAAGGUUUAUUUCUCUACAGGCAGUGGGAAGUGCCACAUCGCUGCUUAAUUUCCUCCAUUUGCUAAAGAAAGUGGGAACUGCCUAGUGAGUGAGCAAAGCCAUAGCAUCCAUUAAGAGGGUGGAGGAGAAAUACAGCCUCCCAAAUCCUAAUGACCUGCUGGAAAAAUUGAUCUCCAUAACCCUGGUCUAGUCAGACUCAGCUUUUCUACGUCCAUGCUCGCAUCUGGCUUGAUUCCUCGGCUUUGCAAAGCCCCCUUUUCCCAUUAGAGCAGCAGUCUACCUAGUUACCAGCUCUCGCUGGAGCAGCCACACAAGGACAUGGAGCAGGGGCGGGAUGAACACUAGACUGAUAAUCUCCCAUUUCAAGUAACUCUAGACUGUAAUCAUCAACUCUGCAAUGCAAACUACCCUCAGCACUCAUUUAAAAGGCACCCUGCUGGCAUGGAGAUGCCGUCCCAUUCCAAAUGUGGAAAUUUAACUACAGAAUCAAACAAGAUCCAUUUUCAAAGUUGAGUCUCCUUUCUAAACCUCAAAACAAAACAAAAAUCACACCCACUCACUGCAGGGUCAUCCGUGGAUUAACUUGGCAAAGAAAUCAUGCCUGUAUUUGGCCUGAGCUGUCUCUUCCGUGUGUGGCAGGGUCUGGGGACAGUUUAUCUGCCAACGUGAGUCAGAGGGAAGGUGGAUGCAAAUUGCAUGUCGUGCAAAAGAUCUCAUGCUCGAUUUGGUAGAGAAUGCACACCACAGGACAGAAAACGCCCUGCCACGAGGGGCUUCAAAUCAGACCCUCGUGUCCUGUUUAGCACUUGAGUGAAUGCCAGCUCUCUGUGGUCUAACUAAGUAUUAAUGCAUGCACUGGCUUGUAUUUUUCCAGCCUCAGUGAAUAGCAUCAGCUAAAGAUAGCAUAGUAAUAUAACACUCCAGUCAUAGGGUUUUUUUGUGUGUGUGUGUGUAUGUGUGUGUGUGUUUUAAGGAAACUAAAUUAAACAUUUGAAGCAUAGUCACAUAACAGGAACAUAAGAAACCAAACUUGGAUGAAUGCAAGGCCAAAGGAGAAAAAGAAAUGCAUCAUAAGAGCAAAGGCUAGAAAGGAGUCAGUUUUAUAACUAGCACGACCACAAAAUUUGCAUGUGGCCUUCACCAAAUCACACAUUUCCUGCUCUCUCUACUUCCUCCUUACCUUAAAGAUGAGAGUAAGGAUGUUGCAUACAUUCAUGGCAUGUGGUAAGGAAGGAUUCCUUAGGUGGAUCUGAGACAUAAUGGGGGAAAGCUGAUGCAAAGUGAAAUGGCCAUCCCUGAAGAGGCUACCAAGUAAUUCUUAUACCUUUCAUUGCUAUUGUGACAACAGGAGCUUAGAAGGACAGAUGGAUAAAAACAAAGGCAUUGGCUGGGCGCAGUGGCUCACACCUGUAAUCCCAGCACUUUGGGAGGCCGAGGCGGGCGGAUCACAAGGUCAAGAGAUUGAGACCAU